This 911-nucleotide ribosomal RNA is filed under the name Haliclystus sanjuanensis. Its description in RNAcentral is "small subunit ribosomal RNA". It matches the Rfam family "Bacterial small subunit ribosomal RNA". Lineage: Eukaryota; Metazoa; Cnidaria; Staurozoa; Stauromedusae; Haliclystidae. The record is from RNAcentral.
CCCCUUUGGUUCUAGGGGGUUAUUAAAGCUUGAUUCUUUUUUAAUACAUGCUAGUGAAAGCUAACCGGUGAGUGUAACCCUCCCCCUGGGGAGUUUGAGGUAUCAGGUGCUGAGAUGUAAACCCCUCAGAGCCCAAGACACCUAACUUUAAGUCACCCCUUUUCUGCAGCAAAAAAGGGCAUGUUCAGCAGUAGAGAAUAUUGUGCUAUGGGCGUAAGCCUGACACAGAAAAGAAUUUAAAGGUCUGUCCUACCACGUGCCAGCAGACGCGGUUAGACGUGGAGACCAAGUUUUAACAAAACAGUAGGCCCUAAGCGUUCUUCCUACAAUUAAGAGUAGGGUUUAGGUAUUUCCCAUUAGCGAUAAAAUGUAAUAAGGUUAAAGACCACCAACCACGAAAGUGUAAACCUCUUUUAGAUAGAGCGAAAGUAAGGGUAGCUAACAGGAUUAGAGACCCUGGUCGUCCUUACCUUCAACACAGAUCAUAUUCGCCUGAGUAGUACGGUCGCAAGACUAAAAUUCAAAGAACCUGGCUGUUCACGCUACCACUUAGAGGAGUGUGUCUUUUAAUACGAUACUCCACGAGUAACCUUACCUUCUUUAGUUUCAGGUAUUGCAUGGCUGUCGUCAGUUUACUUAUAAAAAGUUAAACACCCUACUAUGUAGAAUGAUGUCAGGUAGUAUGAUCCUCAUAAGAAGGGAAUGAUGCACUACAAUUCAAGGGCAAAUAAACCCUUUGAACGGAGAAAGGCUGAAACGCCUUUCCAAAGCCGAAUUUAAGAGUAAUCGAAAAUCAUCAUGUUUCGUUGAACUGGUUCAGCUGUGAGUACAAAUUGCCCGUCACCUUCUCUGACCAAUGGAAAGAGAAGCAAGUCGUAACAUAGUGAGUGGAAAGGAAUUUCUACUCGACC